Molecule: long non-coding RNA, 1381 nt
Filed under: Malus domestica (apple)
Lineage: Eukaryota; Viridiplantae; Streptophyta; Magnoliopsida; Rosales; Rosaceae
Description: long non-coding RNA (MDOM_LNC019190)
Source: RNAcentral
UUCAAUGAAACUAGGAAAAUCUGAGGGUUAUUUAGUGCAAUUCACGGUUAAUCUGGGGCAUUGAGGUUUAUGGUUUAUCGAAAGGACAACUGAACAUCAAUUUGUAUGCAAGUGUGUCAUGUGUGGAGAAGGAACUCUAGCUAACCAAUCAUCCAUUCAAAUCCCCAAUUUUGUGCAAAUCUGUCUAGUUCUAGUUUCUGUUUUGUUUUUACUUUAUUUUCGUCCAAAACCCAAUCCCCCUUUACUUUAGAGUGUCUAAUUAGUUAGAAUCUGUUUUGUUUGUGUUUUUGAGUGUUUUGAGUCAAGCCAAAACCCUAAAUUCGUCCAAAGUUGUGUUUAGAGUCAGAAACUACCUAGUUGGUAUUUUUAGACAUUUUUGAGUGUUUUUAAGUUGUUUUGAGUCUUGUGAACCUGUUUUGAGUCCUUUGAGUCUAUUCUAACGUUUUUAACCUUGUUUUUAUGUUUUUGAGUCAGUUUAGAGGUUUUAGCAAGCCCUCACAAUCCCUGAUUUAGAACGAUCCCUACUUGCAUUUAUACUACAAUUUGACAAUAAGAGGUUUUAAUUUGAGUGUUAAGUUAAUUUUCGCAUCAAGAGGGAGAGGAAGCAACGGGAGAGAGGGUGAGAGAUGUGAGGUGACAGACCAAAAAGAAGGAAAAUGAUGAAGUGAUGUGUGUGGUGGAACAAGUGUAGGUUUCUAAAACCCAAGAUAAAUAUUUAAUGGCCCAUUUGUCCACAACCCAUGUGAUGUUCAAUUUUUCAAACCCAUGCAUGCCUUUGGUAUGCACGAGGGUCAUUAGAUAGACAAGACCAAGGCAGCCCACUGCACGAAGCCACAGUUCAAGUUUUGAAAUUAUCCCGAUAGUUUUACACAGUGUCGGACAUAACGGUUCGUCACAAUUCCGAAUUGAGUUCCGCUUGAGGUCAUGUGUUUGUAAAAAUGAGGACUAUUUAAAAAUAGUAAAAUAAGAGUGGAAAAGUGAAGGGAAAAUUGAGGUCCAUGUGGAAGGCCUACAUGGCAUCUCAAGGGCAUUUUGAUAAUUUCACUACUAUUGAGAAUAAAAUAUAAUAAAUCUUGGGACAACAUGUCACAAUACAUACCACAUUGUAUUUAAGUAUUACUUCAAAACAUAAAAACACAUUUGUCUUGUAAGUAUUACAUACUCCAAAUAACAACCUAUGAAAAGACAUUAUUCGUACUUGUAGAUUAAUUAUUAUAAAGGGAUUAAGUACCUAAAAGUCCUCAACCUUUUAGUGUCAUUUUAAAUUGGUCUCAACCUUUAUAAAUAUUCCAAACAAGUACCCAACCUAUUAAAAAUGUCAAAUUUGUUAAGCCUCAGUUAAAAAUUUGUUAAAUUAACUAGGCUAAUGUUGUCGCCAAAA